AGAAGUCCGAGAAACCCCCGUAAAUAUGCCUGUCCACUUUUUUUAAAGCAAAUUACAAAAUGUGAAAUUCCCCAGAAAUGCACAGCAAUACCUUCUCUAACAAUGUGCCUUCAGCCAAAAGCAGAACUGGAAACAUCCUAAGUGGGCCGGUAACGAGGCUAGCUCUGUCGACUAGUUCAAGACCCCUGAGCGCUUUGGGCCUGAGGUUCCUCAGCUUCCAAGUGAAAGGCUUCGACUUGGCAUUCUAAGAGACAAUCUCUGUGACCAUCAGUUUCCUCAUCUGUAAAACUGGCAUCAUGAUAACUUUGAAGGUAAUUGUGAAGAUUAAAGGGAGUCAUGCAUGUAAA
Molecule: non-coding RNA, 347 nt
Filed under: Pan troglodytes (chimpanzee)
Lineage: Eukaryota; Metazoa; Chordata; Mammalia; Primates; Hominidae
Also listed under: 1 other name
Source: RNAcentral